CCCUUAGAUGUUCUGGGCCGCACGCGCGCUACACUGACGAUGGCAACGAGUUUUUCCUUCGCCGAAAGGUGUGGGUAAUCUUUUGAAACAUCGUCGUGCUGGGGAUAGAUCAUUGCAAUUUUUGAUCUUGAACGAGGAAUUCCUUGUAAGCGCGAGUCAUCAGCUCGCGUUGAUUACGUCCCUGCCCUUUGUACACACCGCCCGUCGCUACUACCGAUUGAAUGGUUUAGUGAGGACUCCUGAUUGGCGCCGCCGCCCCGGCAACGGAGCAGCGGACUGCCGAAAAGUUGUUCAAACUUGAUCAUUUAGAGGAAGUAAAAGUCGUAACA
This 329-nucleotide ribosomal RNA is filed under the name uncultured eukaryote. RNAcentral's name for it is "partial 18S ribosomal RNA". It matches the Rfam family "Eukaryotic small subunit ribosomal RNA", at positions 1470 to 1796 of the family's 1831-position model. The record is from RNAcentral.